RNAcentral lists this ribosomal RNA (433 nucleotides) under uncultured bacterium. RNAcentral describes it as "partial 16S ribosomal RNA". It matches the Rfam family "Bacterial small subunit ribosomal RNA", at positions 29 to 507 of the family's 1533-position model. The record is from RNAcentral.
AACGAACGCUGGCGGCAUGCCUAACACAUGCAAGUCGAACGAGACCUUCGGGUCUAGUGGCGCACGGGUGCGUAACGCGUGGGAACCUGCCCUUAGGUUCGGAAUAACUCCCCGAAAGGGGUGCUAAUACCGGAUAAUGUCUUCGGACCAAAGAUUUAUCGCCUUUGGAUGGGCCCGCGUUGGAUUAGCUAGUUGGUAGGGUAAAAGCCUACCAAGGCGACGAUCCAUAGCUGGUCUGAGAGGAUGAUCAGCCACACUGGGACUGAGACACGGCCCAGACUCCUACGGGAAGCAGCAGUGGGGAAUAUUGGACAAUGGGCGAAAGACUGAUCCAGCAAUGCCGCGUGAGUGAUGAAGGACUUAGGGUUGUAAAGCUCUUUUACCCGGGAUAAUAAUGACAGUACCGGGAGAAUAAGCGCCGGCUAACUCCGUG